UCCCUGAUAGUCCAGUGGCUGGGACUUCACACUCCCAAUGCAAGCGGCCCAGGUUCCAUUCCUGGUCAGGGAU
This 73-nucleotide transfer RNA is filed under the name Bos taurus (domestic cattle). It matches the Rfam family "tRNA". Rfam says of the family: Transfer RNA (tRNA) molecules are approximately 80 nucleotides in length. Lineage: Eukaryota; Metazoa; Chordata; Mammalia; Artiodactyla; Bovidae. RNAcentral also lists the same sequence under 5 other names. The record is from Rfam by way of RNAcentral.